GACGAACGCUGGCGGCGUGCUUAACACAUGCAAGUCGAACGGAAAGGCCCUGCUUUUGUGGGGUGCUCGAGUGGCGAACGGGUGAGUAACCCGUGAGUAACCUGCCCUUGACUUUGGGAUAACUUCAGGAAACUGGGGCUAAUACCGGAUAGGAGCUCCUGCUGCAUGGUGGGGUUUGGAAAGUUUCGGCGGUUGGGGAUGGACUCGCGGCUUAUCAGCUUGUUGGUGGGGUAGUGGCUUACCAAGGCUUUGACGGGUAGCCGGCCUGAGAGGGUGACCGGCCACAUUGGGACUGAGAUACGGCCCAGACUCCUACGGGAGGCAGCAGUGGGGAAUAUUGCACAAUGGGCGGAAGCCUGAUGCAGAAACGCCGCGUGCGGGAUGACGGCCUUCGGGUUGUAAACCGCUUUCGCCUGUGACGAAGCGUGAGUGACGGUAAUGGGUAAAGAAGCACCGGCUAACUACGUG
RNAcentral lists this ribosomal RNA (468 nucleotides) under uncultured bacterium. Its description in RNAcentral is "partial 16S ribosomal RNA". It matches the Rfam family "Bacterial small subunit ribosomal RNA", at positions 28 to 507 of the family's 1533-position model. The record is from RNAcentral.